This 402-nucleotide ribosomal RNA is filed under the name bacterium. RNAcentral describes it as "partial 16S ribosomal RNA". It matches the Rfam family "Bacterial small subunit ribosomal RNA", at positions 355 to 776 of the family's 1533-position model. The record is from RNAcentral.
UGGGGAAUUUUGCACAAUGGGGGAAACCCUGAUGCAGCGACGCCACGUGAUUUAGAAGGCCUUCGGGUUGUAAAAAUCUUUUUUACGGUAUGAAAAUGACAGUACCGUAAGAAUAAGGUCCGGCUAAAUACGUGCCAGCAGCCGCGGUAAUACGUAUGGACCGAGCGUUGUCCGGAAUCAUUGGGCGUAAAGGGUACGUAGGCGGCCUAGUAAGUUAGAAGUGAAAUAAUAUAGCUCAACUAUAUAAAGCUUUUAAAACUGCUAGGCUUGAGAGAUGGAAGGGAAAGUGGAAUUCCUAGUGUAGCGGUGAAAUGCGCAGAUAUUAGGAAGAAUACCGGUGGCGAAGGCGACUUUCUGGUCAUCAUCUGACGCUGAGGUACGAAAGCGUGGGUAGCAAACAGG